Long non-coding RNA from Rattus rattus (black rat), 733 nucleotides. RefSeq lists it as uncharacterized. The transcript has 3 exons. The record is from RefSeq and is a predicted model, not a curated record. Lineage: Eukaryota; Metazoa; Chordata; Mammalia; Rodentia; Muridae.
UGCAGCAGACAAUGGAAUUGGGUAGGACUGAUUUCCUCAUUCCUCUCUCCUAGAUCACCUGCAGUGGCCGCUUGGUGGUGCUGAGGUUGCCGCUGACCAGUGCAAUCAACAGGUGACAACAAAGUUCUGCAGCUAGACAGUGGUGAUGGCUGCAACAACCUUGAGAAUUUACUUAUGUCACUGAAUUGUACAGUUUAAAUUGAUUACAAUGCAGCCUGACAGCCAGCCACUGGAAAUGUCCCAGACCAGCUCAUCAUUGGGAGAAGAAAAGAAUGAACUUGAUACCUGCCUUUUUCCUCCAGGGUUCCAUCUGGCCAUGGGUAGAAUUUAAUGUCACCCAGCCAAAUGUAGGGACAACAAUACGAGACAUAGACUGAAAGGGAGAAAAUUUGUGUGCUUUUUUGCUUUUUACAUAGAAUUUCUCCUUGGGAUUCUCUAAUCUUCUUAACCUCCAAAGAGAUUCUGGGUUCUCAUUCCCAGGCAGCUGCUGACCCUUGCGAGACUCCCCUGCUCUGCUGUCCUAUAGAAAUCAUUUCAUAAAGAACCUCAUAGGUUUUAUUCUACACACUAUUUUAUAUCUUCCUUUUGUUUACUGUCUAUUUCUCAGGAUUGUUUACUUUAUUUCCAUCCUAGAUAACAGCCAUUGGUACAUUCUUGUCUUUUCUGAGUAGUCCCCCAUAUUCUCUGAGUACCAGGUAAAUGAAAACAAUUCAUAUGACAAUACGUGUGUGUG